Molecule: ribosomal RNA, 369 nt
Filed under: uncultured bacterium
Lineage: Bacteria
Description: bacterial SSU rRNA
Rfam family: Bacterial small subunit ribosomal RNA
Source: RNAcentral
AAUGAACGUUGGCGGCGUGGAUUAGGCAUGCAAGUCGCGCGAAAUUUCCUUCGGGAGAUGGACAGCGGCGAAAGGGAGAGGAAUACGUAGAAAUCUGCCCUCGAGCCUGGGAUAGCGGCGGGAAACUGCCGGUAAUACCAGAUAACGUCUUCGGACCAAAGGUGUGAUUCCGCUUGAGGAUGAGUCUACGUCCUAUUAGCUAGUUGGUGGGGUAAUGGCCUACCAAGGCAACGAUGGGUAGCGGGUGUGAGAGCACGAUCCGCCUCACUGGGACUGAGACACUGCCCAGACACCUACGGGUGGCUGCAGUCGAGAAUCUUCGGCAAUGGGGGAAACCCUGACCGAGCGACGCCGCGUGCGGGAUGAAGG